Molecule: long non-coding RNA, 1137 nt
Filed under: Olea europaea (common olive)
Lineage: Eukaryota; Viridiplantae; Streptophyta; Magnoliopsida; Lamiales; Oleaceae
Description: long non-coding RNA (OEUR_LNC001123)
Source: RNAcentral
UUAAUGAGAUGCUAAAUUGGCUCAAAUGUUCCUUCAUGUAUUAAUUAGUUACUAGUUUCAAUCAAAAGAAGUCCAAGUCUACAAUUGGCUGUUGGAAUUUAUGUUCAUAUAUCCAGGUUCUGUUUUCUUUCUCCUUUUUUUCUUCAGCAGCAAACAUCAAUUAUUACAACCCAUUUAUGUCAAUUCUUCAUUAAUUCGUAAACAUUUCAUACAUAUAAUCAUGCUGAAUGUAUUUGUGAACAUAAUUCGAUUACCAGAGUUUGGAGGUAAUAAAUAAAUCCUCCAUCUUCCCAACUCCAUCAUCCAACAGCUUCUUUAAAUCCGAACCUAUCAGCAAAGAAGGAACAAAGGAUGAGUCACACACACACACACACAGAGUCAUAGUACAUGUGAAUGUGGAGUCCCAUUUUGAUUCCCAAAUGUCCCACUGUCCCUUGAAACAAAAUGGGACAAAAGCAUCAUUAUCUCCAUGGCACUGUUGUGUGAAAACUUUAAGCAAUUAGAGGUCUUUCCACAUCAAUUAAAUCACUACCCUUCCUCAAUAUGCCUUAGAAUUGCUACACUUCCUCAAGUUCGAUUGCUGGAAAAUCCCUGAAAUUGUAGUGGAACCAAACCCCAUGACAUUUUCUAAAUUUAAACUCAAAAUUUCUGAACCCACACAACUCCAAAGUAAAACAUUUCAUUUAUAAAAUUCAAGUUAUUAUUUCAUAUCAGAAUCCCAUUUCCAGAAAGGGGAAAAUAAAUCCAAAUUCAAGUUAUUAUCUCAGUCCAGACACUUUGUUUAAUAUUUAAACCAACACGCGUGUUGGAAACAUAUUUUCACGAGAAAGGGAAUGGAGAAGAAAUGAACUAUAAAACCAAGAAAUUAAGGAAAAAGAUAAAAAGAUGAAGAAGGCCCGAACACAUGAUCUUUGUCUUCAAACGAUAUUUGUCUCUUCUCGACUUAAUAAGAUGCUUAAAGGGAUACUUGGCAAAUAGUUUGCAUGAAUUAUCAAGCCUUGACAAGGAUUAAUCACUCAAACAUUAAGUAAAAUCCUCCAAAACUGAAGAACACAAAAGAGAGGAUUUGAAUAUGAAGAAUGAAAUUGAUUAUCUUUUGUUUUAUGGAAUCAAUUGCUUUCUCAAGGAUGAAUUUUG